UACGUAGGUGGCAAGCGUUACUCGGAAUCACUAGGCGUAAAGCGCAGGUAGGAGGUUUGGUAAGUCUGUUGUGAAAGCUCCCGGCUUAACUGGGAGAGGUCAACGGAAACUGCCAAGCUAGAGUGUGGUAGAGGAAGAUGGAAUUCCCGGUGUAGCGGUGAAAUGCGUAGAUAUCGGGAGGAAUACCUAUGGCGAAAGCAGUCUUCUGGACCAUCACUGACUCUGAUCUGCGAAAGCUAGGGGAGCAAACAGG
This 253-nucleotide ribosomal RNA is filed under the name uncultured bacterium. RNAcentral describes it as "partial 16S ribosomal RNA". It matches the Rfam family "Bacterial small subunit ribosomal RNA", at positions 524 to 776 of the family's 1533-position model. The record is from RNAcentral.